GACGUGUUCAUGAAACAAAUUCCAGUUAAAUAAAAAAAUAUUUGCAUAUAAAGUCCAACAAAGUAGACUAUAUAUGUAUCCUCUGUUCCUGAUGAGUUGAUAUUUAUAAUACGACCUGUCCAUUAAUUUGUCACCAACAAUAUUGGACUACAAAUUCAGUCUUACUUAUUCUGUGUUUUUUUUUGCGCUAUCGUUUGUCGGAUUUUCUUUUUUUAUUACAUGUAGCCAUGGUGUAGUCAGUUUGUUUUUGACUUUUGGGCUCUCGUACUUUUGAUUAUAUUUAAAUUGUAAAUUAAGCAAUUGCAUUUUAGUUUCAAAUACAGAGUCAUUAAAUUAAUUUAGAUAUAAAUCUGAUAGCAAUCACUUAACAACAAAACA
Molecule: long non-coding RNA, 378 nt
Filed under: Mytilus galloprovincialis (Mediterranean mussel)
Lineage: Eukaryota; Metazoa; Mollusca; Bivalvia; Mytilida; Mytilidae
Source: RNAcentral